Molecule: long non-coding RNA, 1913 nt
Filed under: Sus scrofa (pig)
Lineage: Eukaryota; Metazoa; Chordata; Mammalia; Artiodactyla; Suidae
Description: lncRNA (ENSSSCG00060001949.1)
Source: RNAcentral
UCAAUUGAUUUCUUUUGUUUUCUCUUUCAGCUAAUCUCCCCAGCAGGCCACAGGCAAUGUGAAGCAUUCAUCUAACCAACCAACAUUCUCGACUUAACAGUAUUGCCCUUUGCAGCAAAUGCCAAUUUCAAGUUCCAUUUAAUCAGAAGCUCCAUGGCUCUUGGAAACAUGCUGUUGAGCGCUGACUGUGUGUUCUACUGAAGGAGUAAAACACUGACUAUCCAAAGAGAAAAGGAUAUUUUGUUUUUAUAAUAAUCAUAUAUUAUUAUGUUCUUCUUCCCUUUCUAUGCAACUGUAAAUUAAUGAACAGAGUGGUAUUCGAAAGUGGUAACACAUUCAUCACUGAUUUGUAUACUGUAUACAGUUUUGGGAAAAUGGGUGGGGGCUUUCUAAUGUGAUACCUUCUUUUUAAUAACCAUGAAAAAAAUUGCAUAAGAAUAAGAAGACAGUUUUACAUUUUUACAUUCCUUCAUAUUAACCUUGUAUAAUAAUUUCAUUUAUUUCUUCCACUCUUUUGCCAUUAUGUUUUGGUUAUUUAUAAUUCAUCAGCCACACGACCAAAUAGAUUUUAUUUGUUUCCAUGAUUUGGCCAAAUUUAAUAAGUUCAUAUGUUUCAAUUAAAUAUUAUAUGUGUAUAGAUUAGGCCACAGCUUUGUGUAUACUUUUUAACCUUUAUUUGACAUCGUACACUUACUUCUUUAGCAACCACUUGGAUAAUCACGAUAAACAUCCUGUGGGCCUAAAUGGCAUUUCUUUGGGAUUUUUUUCCCCUAAAUUUUAUUUCCCUGCUCUAUAUAAGUAGGCCUUGAUUUCUCUAUUUAUUUCAUGCCCCAUUCCGUAUGAUAGGAUUAUAACAAUCUCAAAGAUCAUUUUACCAAAGAUUGCCCAUUUAAGCAUGUUUUCAUUUUGACACAGAAACGCAACUUGUUCCAACUUUUCUUAGUUCCCAGGCCUUGAUUUUCAUCUUUCAGUACACAGCAGACCUUUACCCAAUUGUGAUACCAGAACACAUGGCUCUCUUUGGUUCCCUUUGAAGAAAAUGUUAUAGUUGGUUAUAUAUAUUCAAGCUGUUUAUGAUUCUUUAAACCCCCGGUUAUUUUCCUCCUGAAAGCAGACACAAAUUUAACAAAUGUCUCAUUUUACCUUUUGAGUGAAUGAAGAGCUGUUUUAUUACCCUUCAUUUGAUCAAUUCAUUUGGGAACAAUGUUCAUCAAAAGCUUACAUCCCUGCUUCUAUAGAAGAAUGAAAUUAAUGCUUAGAUGUUGGAACCUGGGCCUAUGCCUUUGAGCGCAUUCAGUUAAGUAUUUGGAUAAGCUUCUGAUUUAACAUGUAUUUGAUUCCUUUUAAACAUGUCAUGUAAUUUACUUACUGUAAAGAAACCAAAAAAAGAAGUGAAAAUAAUGUGUUUUGGUUCAAGUACAUGUGCUUUUAAAACAUCAGGACCUUUUAACUUUGAGUUCUCUCUAACUGGGAUCUGGCCAGAAGGAGGCUUAAAGUUAGAAACUCCUAUUCUUUUAGAAUAGGUUGGGUGGGUUGGGGGGCAAGGGUGUCUAUUUGCAGCAAAGAUAUUUUGAGAAGAAGAAAAUUGUUUUAUAUAAGAGGAAAGCCAUGACCACCUUUCUACCUCAGAUCCAUCUUCAUUCAUCGUGUUGGAAAUAGCUUUAUGCUGCUGCAGUCUGAAAAAUCUAGAGCUUCUAUCAGACCACAUCAUACUCAAUAAAAGUACCUAUUUAAAGAAAAAAAAUUCCCCAAACUCUAAACUACAAGUUGUAGAUUUGGUGUCUUCCUUGUCCUCACUUUGAAAAGUUAUGUAUUAAUUUUUUUCUGCCUGUAAUUGUGUGCAACAUGUUCUUUAUCUGCUAAUGAUGAAAAGCUACAUAAAACACUACAUUGUAACCUUCUAAGUAAUAGUG